AGCGAACGCUGGCGGCGUGCCUAACACAUGCAAGUCGAGCGCGGGCAUUUCGGGGGUAACCCCGGGACUGUGCUGAGCGGCGGACGAGUGAGUAAUACGUGGACAACCUGCCUUAAAGCUUGGGAUAACUCCGGGAAACUGGAGCUAAUACCGGAUAAGACCACGGUGUCUAUGGAUGCUGAGGUAAAAGGCGGCCAGGAAACUGGCUGUUGCUUAAAGAUGGGUCCACGUCCCACAGGUAGUUGGUGAGGUAAAGGCUCACCAAGCCAAAGACGGGUAGCUGGCCUUAGCGGGUGGUCAGCCACACGGGGACUGAGGACACGGCCCCGACUCUACGGGAGGCAGCAGUGGGGAAUAUUGGGCAAU
Molecule: ribosomal RNA, 366 nt
Filed under: uncultured bacterium
Lineage: Bacteria
Description: bacterial SSU rRNA
Rfam family: Bacterial small subunit ribosomal RNA
Source: RNAcentral